Long non-coding RNA from Ictalurus furcatus (blue catfish), 2833 nucleotides. RefSeq lists it as uncharacterized. The transcript has 3 exons. The record is from RefSeq and is a predicted model, not a curated record. NCBI's taxonomy places the organism in Eukaryota, Metazoa, Chordata, Actinopteri, Siluriformes, Ictaluridae.
CUAUCGCAUGCAGGCUAACAGCAAUAUGUAUUUAACACCGCAUGAAAUGCUUACAGGUCGACCCAUGUCUGUGUCUGUUCCUUAUGAAGGACUGCCACUGGAGUAAUUGCAGAUGGAUCAAAGAAAACAUAUAUGAGACAACUAACUAUUAUGUAUGAAGCUAUCUAUUCACAGGAAGAGAGCUGGGUGCAUUGUCAUGGGUGAGGCGUUACCGCCUCAAUGGGGGGAGGUGUUCACCCGGAGGUGGGAGACCAGGAGCAGCGAGAGAAUGGCUGAAGCUGACUACUGGGUUUGGAGAUGGUCACGGGGGAACCUGGAGCCAAUCCCAGGGAGCAUCGGGCACAAGGUGGGGUACAACCUGGACAGGGUGCCAGUCCAUCGCAUCCCAGUCCAAAGCCCAUGCAUGUCUUUGGACUGGGGGAGGAAACCGGAGUACCCGUAGGAAACCCCCGCAGCACGGGGAGAAACAUGCAAACUCUGCACACACAUGGCCCUGGCAGGAAUCGAACCCCGGACCCUGGAGGUGUAAAGAAGAAGUGCAGCUGUAUGAGCUGAGUUUUCGCGGAUGCGACACCUGUCUCCACAGUGACACCUAGUGGUCACUUGCAGGUGUUGAUCUGAAACAUCCUUGAAAACGAUUCAGACAAGCGUUGACGAAUUAUGACCUACAUGUUGUUUGCCUCAAACAACGAAGUGUGUGGGGCAUGUUGCUGCAGUGGGUUCGAAUCCUCGGUGAUGUCUCCUUAUCCACAUCAUUGCAAGAGAUGUUUAAAAAUUAGUGGGUUUUUUAAUUGUUGUGUUAUUUAUUUAUUUAUUAUUUUUUUAUGUGUUGAGUUUUUAACAACUGUCUGACAACUAGGCUACAUGAGCUUGGUUUUGAGCCUGUAGGCUCCUCAUUGUAAAUAUCUAUAUGUAAUUCUGGUCAUGAAAAAUUAAGAUUAAUAAAUGCAAAACUGUUCAAAUUCUUUCUUGCCUAGGUAAUAACCCACAGUAUCUGGCCAGCUGGAAAUUUGGUGGGAUUUCACGUCAGAUGAUUAACAAGGCAUCCUGAGGCGAGCACUUACCAUGGAUCAGUACAAACAUUAUUGAAUCAUUUCCGUUUUAUACCGGAGAACAGUUUAACUUGUAUAUUAAACACUGAUUCAUUGGUUCACCUGGAGAUCAACACCCCCUAGCGGUGAACCAUGGACAUUUUCGAAACGUUUCGAAACAGUAUUACGUAAUGAAGCCUCGUAUGCUGAAAUCACGUGACUUGGCCAGUUUGAUACGCGCUCCGAACCACUGAUUCGAAAUAAAAGACCCAUAAAGGUUUCAAACCUUCAUAAAGCAGUGUUUUGAAAGCGCCAAUCACUAUUAAAUAAGAGUGUACCAAAAUACCGUAUAUAUGUAAUUUGCUAGGAGGAUUAAUAUGGGUUUAAAGAAGUCUUCGUCGGAUUGAGCCUGCAGGGCGGCGUUUCGGCACUGCUGCUUUUCGUCUUCGGUCUGUUUCUGGCAUGACGUGGCGUGCAUGCAUUCUUGAUUUCACCUGUGUGCUUGUGUGACAUGUGAGCUCGAUAGGUGCACGUAGUGGUAUAAGAUGUUUCCUAUGGGCGGAGGAUGUUGUGUUGGUAUAUAGCACUGCUAAACUUGACUGUAAUUUAUGUGUUCGAGCUUGUGGGAACGCUGGAGUGUGACUGCUUAGUUAUGCUAAGCCAAUUUUAAUGAAUUGUGUUUAAUACUAAAGUGUUAAAUAAAGACAUUUGUAUAUAUCCUCGUCUGAGACCAUUCCAUGAAAAACGGACCUGUGUGCCCUUUUUGGGUGGUUAGGUUAAUUUCACUGUAUAACAGGGUUAUUAUAAAUAUAUAAUAUAUAGCUACCCAAGUGUUCAAAUACGCACUCCGCCACAAUACUAAGAACAAACACAACAAACAUGAAGACAAACCUUUUUACUCGGGUAAAGAUUGGGACAUGUGUCUGUUGCAUAAACUUCAGCUGUCCGUAUACCGUCAUCUAAUUACAAUUACAAAGGCUUGACUGGUCUUUAUUUUGUAAUAUUUAGAAGUACUUGCAAGUUACCAUGGUAAAUUACAUACAUUAAAAUCAUAGGCGGAGUUGCAAAUAGCACAGGCAGAUAAUGCAAACUGUCUCACAUGUGCGGUUUGAAUGCGGUUUAAAGGUGUAACCAGAAAAAAAACCCAUCAUUGAUUAUAUUCAUUCCCCAUACAUAUUUUAAUCAGAUAAAGUUUAGAAAAAUGGUUGGAUAAAACUUCAGAUUACUUACCAGUGUGUGGGAUAAUACUGUGCUAAUGUAGUGUUCGUGUGCUUACGAACUCAAACGAGCUCAAUCACCCCUUUGCCUGAUAAAACACGCAAUAGGCCUACCGAUAACCGAUUAUUCAGUGUGAUAUCGGCCAAUACCGAUAGUUUGGUGGUUUUGCCUUUUAUACCUUCUUUUAAAUUAAUAAUAAAUUGUUUCACAGUAACUGGUCUCAUAAACAGAAAACACAUUACUUAAAUAAACAUUAAAACGGUAACUAAGUUCUGAAGAUUAAAGUCACUCACUCACCACAAACAAAAGCAUUUCUACUUCUUCAUUGAACAUCAAACUGGUAAUAUAUAAUAUAACUUUGUGUAAAGGUGAUGACUCUUGUGUAGAAUGACAACAAAAUUGCAGUUUGUAAUCUCUGCACCGCUAAUCUUUUACACUGCACGCUGCAGCAAAGCAGAAGCAGUGCGUUUUUUUUCGGCGUGCAUGUUAACAAAUGAGUGCUUUUACCGUGCAGUAGUGAAGAAUCGAGUCAAAUUUUUUUUUGCCGCACUGAAUUAAAGCUCCAGUGUACUGUUGAAAGAUUU